RNAcentral lists this transfer RNA (74 nucleotides) under Acidobacteriota bacterium. RNAcentral describes it as "Acidobacteria bacterium (soil metagenome) tRNA-Lys". It matches the Rfam family "tRNA". From Rfam's summary of the family: Transfer RNA (tRNA) molecules are approximately 80 nucleotides in length. Their secondary structure includes four short double-helical elements and three loops (D, anti-codon, and T loops). Lineage: Bacteria; Pseudomonadati; Acidobacteriota. The record is from RNAcentral.
AGGCCGGUAGCUAAGCUGGUUAAGGCGCUCGACUUUUAAUCGAGAAAUCGUCGGUUCGACUCCGACCCGGCCUA